RNAcentral lists this ribosomal RNA (301 nucleotides) under uncultured bacterium. RNAcentral describes it as "partial 16S ribosomal RNA". It matches the Rfam family "Bacterial small subunit ribosomal RNA", at positions 509 to 809 of the family's 1533-position model. The record is from RNAcentral.
CAGUAGCCGCGGGAAUACGAAGGGUGCAAGCGUUAAUCGGAAUUACCGGGCGUAAAGCGUGCGUAGGCGGUUUGUUAAGUCUGUUGUGAAAUCCCCGGGCUCAACCUGGGAAUGGCAAUGGAUACUGGCAAGCUAGAGUGUGUCAGAGGAUGGUGGAAUUCCCGGUGUAGCGGUGAAAUGCGUAGAGAUCGGGAGGAACAUCAGUGGCGAAGGCGGCCAUCUGGGACAACACUGACGCUGAGGCACGAAAGCGUGGGGAGCAAACGGGAUUAGAUACCCCGGUAGUCCCUGUCUCUUAUAA